This 441-nucleotide ribosomal RNA is filed under the name uncultured bacterium. Its description in RNAcentral is "partial 16S ribosomal RNA". It matches the Rfam family "Bacterial small subunit ribosomal RNA", at positions 338 to 795 of the family's 1533-position model. The record is from RNAcentral.
CCUACGGGAGGCAGCAGUGGGGGAUAUUGCACAAUGGGGGAAACCCUGAUGCAGCGACGCCGCGUGGGUGAAGAAGUAUUUCGGUAUGUAAAGCCCUAUCAGCAGGGAAGAAAGAAGACGGUACCUGACUAAGAAGCCCCGGCUAACUACGUGCCAGCAGCCGCGGUAAUACGUAGGGGGCGAGCGUUAUCCGGAUUCACUGGGUGUAAAGGGAGCGUAGACGGCCGUGCAAGCCAGGAGUGAAAGCCCGGGGCCCAACCCCGGGACUGCUCUUGGAACUGUGCGGCUGGAGUGCGGGAGGGGCAGGCGGAAUUCCGGGUGUAGCGGUGAAAUGCGUAGAUAUCAGGAGGAACACCGGCGGCGAAGGCGGCCUGCUGGACCGCGACUGACGUUGAGGCUCGAAAGCGUGGGGAGCGAACAGGAUUAGAUACCCUGGUAGUC